UAGGGAAUCUUCCGCAAUGGACGCAAGUCUGACGGAGCAACGCCGCGUGAGUGAAGAAGGAUUUCGGUUCGUAAAACUCUGUUGUUAGAGAAGAACAGCGCAUAGAGUAACUGUUAUGCGUGUGACGGUAUCUAACCAGAAAGCCACGGCUAACUACGUGCCAGCAGCCGCGGUAAUACGUAGGUGGCAAGCGUUGUCCGGAGUUAUUGGGCGUAAAGCGAGCGCAGGCGGUCAAUUAAGUCUGAGGUGAAAGCCCCCGGCUCAACCGGGGAGGGUCAUUGGAACCUGGUUGACUUGAGUGCAGAAGAGGAGAGUGGAAUUCCAUGUGUAGCGGUGAAAUGCGUAGAUAUAUGGAGGAACACCAGUGGCGAAGGCGACUCACUGGUCUGUAACUGACGCUGAGGUUCGAAAGCGUGGGUAGCAAACAG
This 428-nucleotide ribosomal RNA is filed under the name Bacteroidota bacterium. RNAcentral's name for it is "Bacteroidetes bacterium partial 16S ribosomal RNA". It matches the Rfam family "Bacterial small subunit ribosomal RNA", at positions 355 to 775 of the family's 1533-position model. Lineage: Bacteria; Pseudomonadati; Bacteroidota. The record is from RNAcentral.